Molecule: long non-coding RNA, 3303 nt
Filed under: Gouania willdenowi (blunt-snouted clingfish)
Lineage: Eukaryota; Metazoa; Chordata; Actinopteri; Blenniiformes; Gobiesocidae
Description: lncRNA (ENSGWIG00000016424.1)
Source: RNAcentral
CUGGAGAUGUCUAAACCCGUCGAUGGCUGCUCUCUUUAUGAUGUUGUCCUGCAGAGCAUCGACCAGCGCUCCAUGAUGAUGGAAAGCCCUCUUCAUCACAUGAGUGAGCCUGUUGUUCUGUCAUCAGAUGUUUAGUUUGAGUGUGCGUUUCCAUCCCUGAUGUUCGUUUUGUGUGUUUCCUCAGUGGUGUGCGGUCCUCCUGAUUGGCCCGUCCACUCUCUGCUGGUCUCCAACCUGACGUGGGUUUCCACUGACCUAUCGGACUCUGACGUCUGCCGGCCCAACCCCUCGCUGUUUCUAUGUGACCCCAGUGAGACUCUGGCCAUUAUCAUGGCUGACAGCUGCCCGUCGGAGCCUCCCACAGCGCAGACACACACUCAGACUAACAAUAUUCAACCAGCAGCACAAAGCACACAACAACCCACCUGGAGGCCUGCCCAUACAACAUUUACCAAGUCAUCAACAACGACACAAUCUUCCACAGUUGUAGAAAACACAACAACAUAUCACACAAAACUAAGGACACCAAGUAAAAACACAACGGGGAGAAACAAAAACACUACAACAGUUACUGCUACUUUUAGCAAAAUUGAUUCCACAACAUCUGCACACAAUGUAACAACUGUUGCCUUUCCAAAACAUGUCACAGAACAGCCUCUAAAAGACACGACAACACAAAAUAAAACUAGUGUCACAGCUUAUCCAAAUGCUACAAUUGCAGUUACACAAAACACAACUACAACGUCACUGUCUACAAAGGAUACAUUAGCACAAACUAGCACUGCAGUUACAGCUUUUCAAAGUAAUACAACAAACAAUGUGACAAGUCAAUUUUGGGCAGAAGUUACAACAAAACCCAAUGUAAUGACAGUCACACCUCCAACAAAUAGUGUUGGCUACACUAUAGCCACCACAACACUAUCUCUGAAUGACACAACACUACACGAUGCAACGACAAGUCCUCCAGGUGACACAAUGACCCACAAUAGAGCUAAAGUUACACUUUCAACAAAUAGCCCUCACACUGGGACUACAGCCACUGUUGGCAACAAUCGUACAGCCACAAUCCUUCCAAAGGACACUGAAAGGACAGAUACACCUACGACUACAUCCUAUCCAGGAAACACAGCACACAAAGUAACUACAGUUGCACAACCUCCACGUGACACAACGAACAAUGCAACUCUCUCCCCAGAUUUUAAGAAUCCUAAUGUUAGUGUUAGAGGCGCUACACAAACUACAGCCACACAUAAUCACACUGUACAGACACCCUCUGGUGUAACAUCUCAUCCCUACAACACAACUCCCACAAUGUCUCAGAUUGAUACAAACAAAACUAUGACCACAGAUUCACAUUCAAAACACAACGUAACUACAAGUAAUCCCUUUGUGAAUGACACAGUAACCAACACUUCCAUGGUUACGCCUUCUCUAAAUGAUAACUUAACCAACAACGUUUCUAUGGUUACAGCUUCUCUAAAUGGUACCGUAACCAGCAAUGUUACUAUGGUUACGAUGUCUCCCAAAGAUGCAUUUUACAAGGUGACUACAGCUAUGCCUUCUCUAAAUGACACAGCAAUUAACAUUUCCAUGGUUACGCCUUCCCUAAAUGAUACCGUACCUAACAACGUUACGAUAGUUACGAUGUCCCCCAAUGAUGCAUCUUACAAUGCAACUACAGCUACGACUCUUCCAAUUGAAACAGUAACCAACGUUUCUAUGGUUACACCUUCUCUAAAUUAUACAGUAUCUGACAACGAUUCAGUGGUUACGCCUUCCCGAGAUGAUACAUUAACCAACAACGUUACAAUGGUUACAAUGUCGCCCAAUGAUGCAUCUUACAACGCAACUACAGCUACGCCUCUUCAAAUUGAUACAGUAACUAAUGUUUCCAUGGUUACGCCUUCUCUAAAUGAUACUGUAACAAAAAAUGUUUCUAUUGUUACAGCUUUUCUAAAUGAUAAUGUAACUAACAACGUUUCUCUGGUUACAGCAUCUCUAAAUGAUACAGUAACCACCGUCUCUAUGGUUACCGCUUCUCUAAAUGAUGCCACACACAAUGUAACUACAGGUAAUUAUUUUGUCAGUGAUACUGUAACCAUCAACGUUUCUACGGUUACCGUGUCUCCUAGUCUUGCAUCUUACAAUGUAACUGCGCUUACAUUGUCGCUAAAUGAUACAACACACAAUGUAACUACAGUUGAUCUGUCUUUAAAUAAUACAGUGACAAACAACAUUUCCAUGGUUGCGAUCUCACUAAAUGAUACAACGCUAACUGUGACUACCGUUAGUCCUUUUCCUAAUGAUAACAACAUAUCCACGGCUUCAAGUUCUUCCAACAAUGGAACUACUCUGACAGUGACACACAACGUUUCCAUGGUUACAACAAUUGUUAUGGCCUCUCUGAAUGACACAGUAACGCAAAAUCUUACUAUGGCGACAUCUUUCAAUGAUGCGUCAUACAAUGUAACUACAGUUACACUUUUUCAAAAUAUCACCUCAAACAAUGUAACCACAGCAUUGCCUAUUCUAAAUGAUACGUUGCACAUUGUAACGCCAGUAAAAACAACACUACACAACAUUACCAUGGUUACAUCCUCUCCAUACAAUAAAACACACAAGUUAACUACUGACAUCCUUCCAAUGGUUACGACACAAACUUUGGUAACUGCUGCUGUCGCCCCCCAUCAAAAUGAUACAACGCACAUCGUAACCACCACAGAGUCGACCACGACUACCCGUCACACAGCGAGAUAUGAGGUUACCAACAGUCAAACAACAGUUCUGCCCACAACUGUAGACGACAUGCCUUUUACUAAUGACACCCACACAACGUUUGGCUCAAUAACGUCAACAACACCUGACGACUACACAACUCUCCCAGCAGUGGUAGACAACACAAGCACAGAGAUAGUAACCAAAACAACAUCGAGAGCAACAGCCACUACACAAGCUGACACAACAUCCUCAACCACAUUACCAACAUCUCUGCUCAGUUUGACGACAUCUACAGCCACAGAAGUGGCCACAAUGACAACAAAUCCCACAAGAAAAGACCCAGGACACCAUUCACUGAGUCCUCCGUCCAACAGUUCACCAUACACAUCCACAUUACCCACAACUGCUGGCAAUGGAUCAGAAACACAGGAGGAACUAGCAAACCUGCUCAUCGAUCGAACACAAAACGCCUCUCAGCUCAACUCAUCUCAGGUGAUGCUUUGAAUCACUUUAACUUAAGGUCUGAGUCAUCAUCCAAUAGAACUAAAUGUUAUAACCUGGAAAAGCUUUUUAUAUCUACGUCUG